RNAcentral lists this long non-coding RNA (272 nucleotides) under Dasypus novemcinctus (nine-banded armadillo). RNAcentral's name for it is "lncRNA (ENSDNOG00000051825.1)". The record is from RNAcentral. Lineage: Eukaryota; Metazoa; Chordata; Mammalia; Cingulata; Dasypodidae.
UAUGCCAAGCCUGCAACUCAAAAACUAUGAUUCAGAAUGAAGUUUUUAAACCCAAGCAACCUUCAAGAAGCCUACCCAAUGACCAAAAAAAGAUGAAUGACUUUAUCAGUUUAGUCUCAGGUCUUUGUGUCUUUGUGGAGCUCUGAGGCAUUCCUGUCUUCUCGAAACAUCCUUGAAUCCUCUGAGAAAGUUCCCCUUUGUCCUUAAGCUGGCUCAGGUAUGUUGCUGUCCCUUGCAUUCAAAACGGGCUUGACAGUGACUUUGAGCACUAA